GUGCUGGGAUUACAGGCGUGAGCCACCGCGCCUGGCCAGCCCAUUCUUUAAUAUAUUCCUGAGGAAAGGCACAUGACAACAUAUUUCCUGAUAGCAGAUUGUUUGUGUCUUUUAUAUUUGUGGACAUUUUGCUAGAUAUAAAAUCCUGGGCUUCACUCUCAAGCAGGCUUUCUAUAGGUAGAGACAAGAUGUCUACCAGUGGCUCCAGAAUUGUACCCUUCUAGCUUAAUAACCCUGGAAGACAGAGAGUUUUGCUUUUCAAAUAAUUCCAGCAAGUCUUGGGAUGAGUUCUGAUUUUACUCUUUUGAGUCAUGUUUUCAUCUUGAAGCCAAUCACUAUUGUCAAGUGGAUGAAAUGCAAACAUGAGCCAGGCAUGAACUGUACAUUCAUCCUGGAUCUAAGGAGUGGGAUAGCCCCAUCCAAGCCAAAUGGAUCAAGAGUGGGAAGGGAUGGAUUCCCCAGGGACUAUCAGUGUGCUGUCAGUAGAAAAGGCAGGAAUCGAGGUUAGAUAGGCAAAAGCAAUAGGUAAAUAUCCACUAUAGUUUCACAUGUAUGGAUAGAUUUUCCUCAAAUUAUUUGCCAGUUGUUUCAGGGAUGAAUCCUUCAUCUGUCCAACUAGGAAUGGAACUGCCAUAAAGGCCUACUUUUGUGAUUGUAGCAACACCUAACGAGAGGCCAGAUAUUUACUCAGUUGGGCAAAGCUACAACACUCCACUACUUAGAUGAAUCUGGUCUAACAUUGUAGUAGUAUGAAUCCUGUGGCCAGAUGUAUUGUCAUGAUCAGUUAUUAGGAAAAAUACUUAACUGAAAAGACAUUGUCAGACAUGCCAUUUGACAACAAAUAUGUGAAACAAGGAGACCAACAAAUAGAAAAACAUAUUAAGAGAAGGUUCUGACCUUUUGAAAUAUAAUCAGAAGUAGAAUUUGCUUUUAAUGCUGCAAAUGGAAACUUAAAAUGAUAGAAUUGGUUAAAAUUACAAAUUAAAUAUAGAUAAAAUUCCAUUUCUAGCAGCAGAAGAAGAGAUUGUUAUGUGUCACUAUCAAAUGCAACAAAUACAUUUGGCAAAGGAAUCUUUUGAAGUUGGGGUCUUGAAAAAGUCCAUUUUCAUGGACUGGGUUCCAAUUGGGUAUCAAUAUUUUAGAUGAUAGAAAUUAAGUAGCAAUUACUCUAUUAAGAUGGGGAGGUGGUAGGUCUUUCAUAGAUAAAACAUUUAGGUAGCAGAAUACAAAGUCAUUUUUAAAAAUUCUAGCAUUUAUUGCAUGCAUUUUUCCCUUCUGAUUUUCCAUGUUUCUUGGGCUUGAGCUAUAGAAUGACUGAACCGUGCCUUUUUCCAGUGAUUUCUUACUGCAUCUUCCUUAGUAGCAAUGGGGGGCAGUUAUAUUAAAAUUUAAACAUUCUUUAAAAAUAUAAGAUGUGGAGCAGAAACCCGCAUCCAGGAACAGAGCCCUUUGCUCCUCCCUCAGAAUGAAUGGAGACCAGAAAUCAGAUGUUUAUGUCCAAGAAAAGCAGGAUUUCAUUCAGCACUUCUCCCAGAUCGUUAGGGUGCUGACUGAGGAUGAGAUGGGGCACCCAGAGACAGGAGAUGCUAUUGCCCGGCUUAAGGAGGUCCUGGAGUACAAUGCCAUUGGAGGCAAGUAUCACCAGGGUUUGACGGUGCUGGUAGCAUUCCGGGAGCUGGUGGAGCCAAGGAAACAGGAUGCUGAUAGUCUCCAGCGGGCCCUGACUGUGGGCUGGUGUGUGGAACUGCUGCAAGCUUUCUUCCUGGCAGCAGAUGACAUCAUGGAUUCAUCCCUCACCUGCCAGGGACAGAUCUGCUGGUAUCAGAAGCCAGGUGUGGGUUUGGAUGCCCAUCAAUGAUGCUAUCCUUCUGGAAGCAUGUAUCUACUGCCUGCUGAAGCUCUACUGCUGGGAGCAGCCCUCUUACCUGAACCUGAUCAAGCUCUUCCUGCAGAGUUCCUAUCAGACUGAGAUUGGGCAGACCUGGACCUCAUCACAGGCCCCCAGGGCAAUUCGGAUCUUGGCAGAUUCACUGAAAAGAGGUACAAAUCUAUUGUCAAGUACAAGACGGCUUUCUACUCCUUCUACCUUCCUAUAGCUGCAGCCAUGUACAUGGCGGGAAUUGAUGGUGAGAAGGAGCAUGCCAACACCAAGAAGAUCCUGCUGGAGAUGGGAGAGUUCUUUCAGAUUCAGGAUGAUUACCUUGACCUCUUUAGGGACCCCAGUGUGACUGGCAAAGUUGGCACUGACAUCCAGGACAACAAAUGCAGCUGACUGGUAGUUCAGUAUCUGCAGCAGGUCACUCUAGAACAGUACAGAUCAUGAAGGAAAAUUACGGGCAGAAGGAGGCUGAGAAGGUGGCCCGGGUGAAGGCAUUAUAUGAGGAGCGGGAUCUGCCGGCCGUGUUCUCACAGUAUGAGGAAGACAGUUACAGCCACAUUAUGGGUCUCACUGAACAGUAUGCAGCACCCCUGCCCCCAGCUAUCUUUCUGGGGCUUGUGCACAAAAUCUACAAGUGGAAAAAGUGACCUAGAGACUGCAAGGGCGGGGAGAGGAGGCUCUCAACAAAUAAAUUAUUGUGUAAUCUUAAAAUAUAUAUAUAUGAUGUAUACUUACAAAAUAAUGUAGCACAAGAAAAAGUGACCUAAGAUUACUUCUGAAAAAACAAUUAAAGGAAGCAAGUUCAUUAUU
Molecule: RNA transcript, 2689 nt
Organism: Cebus imitator (Panamanian white-faced capuchin)
Lineage: Eukaryota; Metazoa; Chordata; Mammalia; Primates; Cebidae
Gene name: farnesyl pyrophosphate synthase-like
Exons: 1
Source: RefSeq, a predicted model, not a curated record